UUGACAAGCUGGUCAAGCUGCUUGAGUGUCGCACUAAAAGCAGUCCGAGAAGACAAAUGUCGUAUUUCUCUUCUGUUCUUGGGAGUUCCAGUCGUUCAAAAAGAGAGAUGGGAAGUAACUUUCGAAGAAUCUCCAAAGAAAAGGCUCAUAAAGGGGGCUUUCCUAUCCCCAGUGAUUAAUCUGCAUUCUGGAAGGUGGGACUUUCUGUUCUCCGGCAAAUGACAAUGGAAGUUAAAGUGAGAGGAGAAAUACGUUGGAGUCCUAACAGCCCUGCUGGUGACAUCUAUCAAAAUGAGGGCGGUCCCAAAAAGGAGGUCAUCAUGAAGGCCUCCAGGGUUGCUGUGCUUUCUCUGCACCUUCUAUUCCCGCCACCGGGUGGCGGCCGUCAAUUAUUUACUCCCGAUCCAAAAUGAGAACACAAAUUCAAACGCUUCCUGGCUGCUCCUCCAGAGGAUGUCAGUCAAUGGUACUGGAGGUAGUUCUUCAGGGACUGGGGCAGGGGGAGACCCUCGAUCUCCUGGAGGCGCUCGCGACCCAACGCCAGGCGGGCGGCACGCCGACACAAAUCCAUCAGAGGAAGAGGCUCGGCUGCGGAGGAGGAGG
Molecule: long non-coding RNA, 603 nt
Organism: Nerophis ophidion (straightnose pipefish)
Lineage: Eukaryota; Metazoa; Chordata; Actinopteri; Syngnathiformes; Syngnathidae
Exons: 5
Source: RefSeq, a predicted model, not a curated record